This 328-nucleotide unclassified non-coding RNA is filed under the name Hevea brasiliensis (rubber tree). Lineage: Eukaryota; Viridiplantae; Streptophyta; Magnoliopsida; Malpighiales; Euphorbiaceae. The record is from RNAcentral.
AUUUUUAUUUAAUUAAAAAGACUCGGCAAAGACUCGAAAAAUCAUUGGCAAGCUCGUAGGAUUCACCAAAUUUUCAAUGUUGAAAAAAUUCCAAAUUGGUGCCAUUACAAAGCUCUCGACGUAUAGGAAGUGCUGGUGGUCUCAGUCUCAGAUUUUUGAUAGGAUUUAUGAUUUGGGAGAAAUCUAACCCAUAAGUAAAAAAAGGCUAAAACUUCAUGGUCUCGAUUCACACAAACCUCUUGAUGAAAAUUAAUGAAAUUGAUGUCUAUGAAAAGCUAGUGAGGUGAAAAAUAAAAAGGGAACAUGACCCGGUCCAAUUGGUGGCCGG